Molecule: ribosomal RNA, 902 nt
Filed under: Boletaceae sp.
Lineage: Eukaryota; Fungi; Basidiomycota; Agaricomycetes; Boletales; Boletaceae
Description: eukaryotic LSU rRNA
Rfam family: 5.8S ribosomal RNA (bases 269-423)
Source: RNAcentral
AGGAAGUAAAAGUCGUAACAAGGUUUCCGUAGGUGAACCUGCGGAAGGAUCAUUAUCGAAUGGAAAGGAAUCCAAGGAGGACGGAAAGGACUGUGCUGGCCAGCUCGAAGAGAGUUUGGCACGUGCACGUCCGACCAUGUACUCCUUGCCUUUCGAUCUACAUUCACACACCCGUGCACCGACCGUAGGCCCUUCGAAAGAGGGGAUCUAUGUUUAUCUGAUCACGCCGAUCGUAUGGUACAGAAUGUGACCCAUGAUGAACGAAUACAACUUUCAGCAAUGGAUCUCUUGGCUCUCGCAUCGAUGAAGAACGCAGCGAAUCGCGAUAAGUAAUGUGAAUUGCAGAUUUCCAGUGAAUCAUCGAAUCUUUGAACGCACCUUGCGCUCCUUGGUAUUCCGAGGAGCAUGCCUGUUUGAGUGUCUUGGAAUUCUCAACCGAGCCCUUCGUUUUCGUUGGACUUGGCUUGGACUUGGGAGUUUGCUGGCUUCGACAGAGGUCGGCUCUCCUGAAAUCGAUUAGCGAAAAGGAUCGUAACGUCGCACUUCGGACGUGCAUGGCCUUUCGACGUGAUAAUGAUCGUCGUGGGCUGGAGCGUGCGUGGACGGACAAGAUCUGCUUGCUUCCAAUCUGGUCUGAUCUGAUCGAGGAGGCCUUGUCUACUAGCUGGCGUCCGCUGGCGAACGCAAGGUCUUCACGAAGACGAUCGACGAACUUUUGGGACUCGACCUCAAAUCAGGUAGGACUACCCGCUGAACUUAAGCAUAUCAAUAAGCGGAGGAAAAGAAACUAACAAGGAUUCCCCUAGUAACUGCGAGUGAAGAGGGAAAAGCUCAAAUUUCGAAUCUGGCGGUCCUCGUGGUCGUCCGAGUUGUAAUCUAGAGAAGCGUCUUCCGCGCUGGAC